AGAGUUUGAUCAUGGCUCAGGACGAACGCUGGCGGCAUGCCUAAUACAUGCAAGUCGAGCGGAAUGAUGAGAGCUUGCUCUCUGAUUUUAGCGGCGGACGGGUGAGUAACACGUGGGCAACCUGCCCUACAGAUGGGGAUAACUCCGGGAAACCGGGGCUAAUACCGAAUAAUCAGUUUGUCCGCAUGGGCAAACUCUGAAAGACGGUUUCGGCUGUCACUGUAGGAUGGGCCCGCGGCGCAUUAGCUAGUUGGUGGGGUAAUGGCCUACCAAGGUAACGAUGCGUAGCCGACCUGAGAGGGUGAUCGGCCACACUGGGACUGAGACACGGCCCAGACUCCUACGGGAGGCAGCAGUAGGGAAUCUUCCACAAUGGACGAAAGUCUGAUGGAGCAAUGCCGCGUGAGCGAAGAAGGUUUUCGGAUCGUAAAGCUCUGUUGUAAGGGAAGAACACGUACGGGAGUAACUGCCCGUGCCAUGACGGUACCUUAUUAGAAAGCCACGGCUAACUACGUGCCAGCAGCCGCGGUAAUACGUAGGGGGCGAGCGUUGUCCGGAAUUACUGGGCGUAAAGGGUGCGUAGGCGGGCUGUCAAGUCUGAUGUGAAAGGUUGCGGCUUAACCGUGAGAAGGCAUUGGAAACUGGCAGUCUUGAGUGCAGGAGAGGGAAGCGGAAUUCCCGGUGUAGCGGUGGAAUGCGUAGAUAUCGGGAGGAACACCAGUGGCGAAGGCGGCUUUCUGGACUGUAACUGACGCUGAGGCACGAAAGCUGGGGGAGCAAACAGGAUUAGAUACCCUGGUAGUCCCAGCCGUAAACGAUGGAUACUAGGUGUUGGCGGUUCAGACCGUCAGUGCCGGAGCUAACGUGAUAAGUAUCCCGCCU
RNAcentral lists this ribosomal RNA (882 nucleotides) under uncultured bacterium. RNAcentral describes it as "bacterial SSU rRNA". It matches the Rfam family "Bacterial small subunit ribosomal RNA", at positions 9 to 873 of the family's 1533-position model. The record is from RNAcentral.